CAGGGGUAGCUUGCUACCCGCUGACGAGCGGCGGACGGGUGAGUAAUGCAUAGGAAUCUGCCCGAUAGUGGGGGAUAACCUGGGGAAACCCAGGCUAAUACCGCAUACGUCCUACGGGAGAAAGGGGGCUCCGGCUCUCGCUAUUGGAUGAGCCUAUGUCGGAUUAGCUAGUUGGUGAGGUAAUGGCUCACCAAGGCAACGAUCCGUAGCUGGUCUGAGAGGAUGAUCAGCCACAUCGGGACUGAGACACGGCCCGAACUCCUACGGGAGGCAGCAGUGGGGAAUAUUGGACAAUGGGCGAAAGCCUGAUCCAGCCAUGCCGCGUGUGUGAAGAAGGCCCUCGGGUUGUAAAGCACUUUCAGCGAGGAAGAACGCCUAGUGGUUAAUACCCACUAGGAAAGACAUCACUCGCAGAAGAAGCACCGGCUAACUCCGUGCCAGCAGCCGCGGUAAUACGGAGGGUGCAAGCGUUAAUCGGAAUUACUGGGCGUAAAGCGCGCGUAGGUGGCUUGAUAAGCCGGUUGUGAAAGCCCCGGGCUCAACCUGGGAACGGCAUCCGGAACUGUCAAGCUAGAGUGCAGGAGAGGAAGGUAGAAUUCCCGGUGUAGCGGUGAAAUGCGUAGAGAUCGGGAGGAAUACCAGUGGCGAAGGCGGCCUUCUGGACUGACACUGACACUGAGGUGCGAAAGCGUGGGUAGCAAACAGGAUUAGAUACCCUGGUAGUCCACGCCGUAAACGAUGUCGACCAGCCGUUGGGUGCCUAGCGCACUUUGUGGCGAAGUUAACGCGAUAAGUCGACCGCCUGGGGAGUACGGCCGCAAGGUUAAAACUCAAAUGAAUUGACGGGGGCCCGCACAAGCGGUGGAGCAUGUGGUUUAAUUCGAUGCAACGCGAAGAACCUUACCUACUCUUGACAUCCUGCGAACUUGUGAGAGAUCACUUGGUGCCUUCGGGAACGCAGAGACAGGUGCUGCAUGGCUGUCGUCAGCUCGUGUUGUGAAAUGUUGGGUUAAGUCCCGUAACGAGCGCAACCCUUGUCCUUAUUU
RNAcentral lists this ribosomal RNA (1046 nucleotides) under Halomonas sp. RNAcentral describes it as "bacterial SSU rRNA". It matches the Rfam family "Bacterial small subunit ribosomal RNA", at positions 70 to 1116 of the family's 1533-position model. The record is from RNAcentral. Lineage: Bacteria; Pseudomonadati; Pseudomonadota; Gammaproteobacteria; Oceanospirillales; Halomonadaceae.